RNAcentral lists this ribosomal RNA (1554 nucleotides) under Staphylococcus aureus. Its description in RNAcentral is "16S ribosomal RNA". It matches the Rfam family "Bacterial small subunit ribosomal RNA". Lineage: Bacteria; Bacillati; Bacillota; Bacilli; Caryophanales; Staphylococcaceae. The record is from RNAcentral.
UUUAUGGAGAGUUUGAUCCUGGCUCAGGAUGAACGCUGGCGGCGUGCCUAAUACAUGCAAGUCGAGCGAACGGACGAGAAGCUUGCUUCUCUGAUGUUAGCGGCGGACGGGUGAGUAACACGUGGAUAACCUACCUAUAAGACUGGGAUAACUUCGGGAAACCGGAGCUAAUACCGGAUGAUAUUUUGAACCGCAUGGUUCAAAAGUGAAAGACGGUCUUGCUGUCACUUAUAGAUGGAUCCGCGCUGCAUUAGCUAGUUGGUAAGGUAACGGCUUACCAAGGCAACGAUGCAUAGCCGACCUGAGAGGGUGAUCGGCCACACUGGAACUGAGACACGGUCCAGACUCCUACGGGAGGCAGCAGUAGGGAAUCUUCCGCAAUGGGCGAAAGCCUGACGGAGCAACGCCGCGUGAGUGAUGAAGGUCUUCGGAUCGUAAAACUCUGUUAUUAGGGAAGAACAUAUGUGUAAGUAACUGUGCACAUCUUGACGGUACCUAAUCAGAAAGCCACGGCUAACUACGUGCCAGCAGCCGCGGUAAUACGUAGGUGGCAAGCGUUAUCCGGAAUUAUUGGGCGUAAAGCGCGCGUAGGCGGUUUUUUAAGUCUGAUGUGAAAGCCCACGGCUCAACCGUGGAGGGUCAUUGGAAACUGGAAAACUUGAGUGCAGAAGAGGGAAGUGGAAUUCCAUGUGUAGCGGUGAAAUGCGCAGAGAUAUGGAGGAACACCAGUGGCGAAGGCGACUUUCUGGUCUGUAACUGACGCUGAUGUGCGAAAGCGUGGGGAUCAAACAGGAUUAGAUACCCUGGUAGUCCACGCCGUAAACGAUGAGUGCUAAGUGUUAGGGGGUUUCCGCCCCUUAGUGCUGCAGCUAACGCAUUAAGCACUCCGCCUGGGGAGUACGACCGCAAGGUUGAAACUCAAAGGAAUUGACGGGGACCCGCACAAGCGGUGGAGCAUGUGGUUUAAUUCGAAGCAACGCGAAGAACCUUACCAAAUCUUGACAUCCUUUGACAACUCUAGAGAUAGAGCCUUCCCCUUCGGGGGACAAAGUGACAGGUGGUGCAUGGUUGUCGUCAGCUCGUGUCGUGAGAUGUUGGGUUAAGUCCCGCAACGAGCGCAACCCUUAAGCUUAGUUGCCAUCAUUAAGUUGGGCACUCUAAGUUGACUGCCGGUGACAAACCGGAGGAAGGUGGGGAUGACGUCAAAUCAUCAUGCCCCUUAUGAUUUGGGCUACACACGUGCUACAAUGGACAAUACAAAGGGCAGCGAAACCGCGAGGUCAAGCAAAUCCCAUAAAGUUGUUCUCAGUUCGGAUUGUAGUCUGCAACUCGACUACAUGAAGCUGGAAUCGCUAGUAAUCGUAGAUCAGCAUGCUACGGUGAAUACGUUCCCGGGUCUUGUACACACCGCCCGUCACACCACGAGAGUUUGUAACACCCGAAGCCGGUGGAGUAACCUUUUAGGAGCUAGCCGUCGAAGGUGGGACAAAUGAUUGGGGUGAAGUCGUAACAAGGUAGCCGUAUCGGAAGGUGCGGCUGGAUCACCUCCUUUCU